ACUUAAAUUGAAGAGUUUGAUCAUGGCUCAGAUUGAACGCUGGCGGCAGGCCUAACACAUGCAAGUCGAGCGGUAGCACAGAGAGCUUGCUCUCGGGUGACGAGCGGCGGACGGGUGAGUAAUGUCUGGGAAACUGCCUGAUGGAGGGGGAUAACUACUGGAAACGGUAGCUAAUACCGCAUAACGUCGCAAGACCAAAGUGGGGGACCUUCGGGCCUCAUGCCAUCAGAUGUGCCCAGAUGGGAUUAGCUAGUAGGUGGGGUAACGGCUCACCUAGGCGACGAUCCCUAGCUGGUCUGAGAGGAUGACCAGCCACACUGGAACUGAGACACGGUCCAGACUCCUACGGGAGGCAGCAGUGGGGAAUAUUGCACAAUGGGCGCAAGCCUGAUGCAGCCAUGCCGCGUGUGUGAAGAAGGCCUUCGGGUUGUAAAGCACUUUCAGCGGGGA
This 450-nucleotide ribosomal RNA is filed under the name Klebsiella pneumoniae. Its description in RNAcentral is "bacterial SSU rRNA". It matches the Rfam family "Bacterial small subunit ribosomal RNA", at positions 1 to 445 of the family's 1533-position model. Lineage: Bacteria; Pseudomonadati; Pseudomonadota; Gammaproteobacteria; Enterobacterales; Enterobacteriaceae. The record is from RNAcentral.